RNAcentral lists this ribosomal RNA (458 nucleotides) under uncultured bacterium. Its description in RNAcentral is "partial 16S ribosomal RNA". It matches the Rfam family "Bacterial small subunit ribosomal RNA", at positions 338 to 795 of the family's 1533-position model. The record is from RNAcentral.
CCUACGGGAGGCAGCAGUGAGGAAUAUUGGUCAAUGGGCGAGAGCCUGAACCAGCCAAGUCGCGUGAGGGAGUACUGCCCUAUGGGUUGUAAACCUCUUUUGUCGGGGAGCAAAAGCCGGACGUGUCCGGCUGUGAGAGUACCCGAAGAAAAAGCAUCGGCUAACUCCGUGCCAGCAGCCGCGGUAAUACGGAGGAUGCGAGCGUUAUCCGGAUUUAUUGGGUUUAAAGGGUGCGCAGGCGGAUUUUUAAGUCAGCGGUAAAAUCGUGGGGCUCAACCCCAUCCAGCCGUUGAAACUGGGGAUCUAGAGUGUGCGAGAGGUAUGCGGAAUGAGUGGUGUAGCGGUGAAAUGCAUAGAUAUCACGCAGAACCCCGAUUGCGAAGGCAGCAUACCGGUGCACAACUGACGCUCAGGCACGAAAGCGUGGGUAUCGAACAGGAUUAGAUACCCUGGUAGUC